AUCAAUAUUGUGUAUUAUACCUUAACGGAAUUCGGUGUUAUUCGUGACACAAAAUAUUAUAUUUUUUACUAUUUAACAGUUUAAAGUGAAAAUGAAAAUGGAUUCAGUAACAUAAUUAUAGCACUCACACUGAGACAGCUGGACGUGAAGAUUGACCUCUACGAGGAUAGCCAGAUGUUCUGACAGCAGCACAUUCAAUUCUGUCACCGCAUUCUAAACACAUGGAAAUGAGUAAGAGAAACGAUAAACUUCACAUGCGAUUUGGAAAGUCUGUUCCUGUCAGAGGUGAACUUGAAAACCCAGUUUCGCCAGAAUUACAACGUCAAAGAUCGCUAGACAAGUCAUCAAGUUGUGCCUGUUUCAGUUUUAAAUGUUGCAGGCGAAGAAGCUACACUCCUUAGAAAAUAUAUUGUAUUACAAAAUACCUCAAGAAUAUCAAUCCAAGUACAAGGAAUUCCGAAUUACAGCAUACUACUGUUAAAGUAAAUCAAGUUUUUUGUCUGAGAGAAUUUAAAAACGUGCUUGUUUAUUUGAUAAACGAUCUAGACAGUAACUAAGUAUUAACAUAUGCCGGCAAAUGUUACAUAUAUUUUGAAAGUAUAUCCUUUAUAUUGGAAUUAAACUCCAUUUAUCGAUCCUUCACCACAUAAUUGGUUUUACCAUAAAGCCUGAAGAAUUGGCUUCCUCUGUCAAAAUAUUUAGAGAAAAAGGUGACGGUCGUACAUUUUGGAUCUGUAUUUUAGCUCUAGAAAAUGUGAUACUAAGUUAUACAUUUACCCUUAUGUGCCCUAAAUGUCCUGACAAUUGGUUGGUCAGAAUUUAGAAAAAAAUGAUACUUAGUGUUACAUUAACCCUAACGUGCUCUAAAUGUCCUAACAGUUGGCUCAUCAUAAUUUUAUAUUUCGCAAUUCUCAGUCAUAGAGAAUUUGCAAAACUGGCGGAAUCCCCUACUUAAAGUACAGAAAAACUGUAAAAACAAAAGUUUAAACCGUAUGACUCUCAUCAUCGAAAUACCAUCUUCCGCCGCGAUUAAUUAAAUCUGCUUUAUUAAGAUAGGUUGUAGAUUUAGAUGGAAUUCUACAAAAAAUAAUGUUGGUACGAUGCUGGUUUGGUCGGUGCGGUGGCUGCUAUGAACUAAAGAAGGGUUAAUUCAAAAAUUCUUUUCUGUUCAACAUUCUAUCUCAAGCUUCCCAUAAAAGUAACUCGUAGUUCUUCUUCGACGGACUGAUGCUAAUAAUUCAUAUUUGUAAGCUUCUUAUGUAUAAAGGCAUAAUACGGGAUUGAUAUACAUCUAACAUGAUAUAAGAAAAUCGUGGAAACAGAAAAUUUGAAAUAUAAUUGUAGAAAUAGAUUUUAACAAGCAAAUUCGAUGAACUGGUAUCACCCGCCGAGUGGGUAAUAAAUACUGAUGGGAAAAUAAAACAAAGCGAGGUUGGGGGGAAGGUACAGCUUUGCAUGUUGAUAAAUAUUCAUGGCAGGUUUAAGAUUUUAAAAAAAAGAGAGAAAAAAAAUAAGGGGUAGGGUAUGGGGUGUGACUAGGACGGUAGGGGUGACCGGGUGUGGGUACACAACUUCACAUGUUGAUGAUAAAUGUUCAUGGGGGGAAAUGAAAGACGUUUAAUGCAACUCUACCAAUUGGUUACUUUAUGUACAAAUAUGUGAACUUUUAAACAAUUCAGGGGCAAUAACUCUGAAAUUAAUAGAAAAAUCCUGACGAAAUUGUUUGUGCACUAUCACAUUAUGGUGAUCUAAAUUUAAUUUAAGUUUCAUAGUUCCAGGUCAAAUAUGUCACAAGUUAUGAAGCAGAUAUUGCCACAUUUAUAAACUACUAAGGGCCAUAACUCUGGUGUUACUUGGACAAUAUGACUGAAACUUGGCGGACCGCAUUUCCCGAUAGUGGUGAAUAUGUACAUGAAGUUUUAUUUAGAUAUUCUAGACCACUUCCUAGAUUUGGCUCCGGACGGACGGACGGGCGGUCGGACGAUAUGGCUCCGGACGGACGGACAGACGUUCGCACAUUUGAAACCUAAAGUGGUCAUUCCAUUGUUUGAAAACAAUAGAAUGACCACUUAAGGAACAAAAGACUUAAGUGGUUACGGAAUGAAUACAAAGGAUUUCUAUUGUCCUAGGCCACACCUCCUACCAACCAAGGUAUCACUCGUGUGCUCGGAAAGACGGACGGACGGACAGACGGAGGGAUGACGUUAAAACUAUGUCCCUCCGCCUUCGGCGGGGGAUAACAAGGUAAUAUUAGUAGGAUAUAUAAAUAUAAAGGUGUUGCUGUUUGUCAAAAAUUCUUCGUUUUUUCCCAUCUAAACCUAUGUUUUAAGUAAUACAGUCUAUACAAAUAUACCUUAGAAGCGUAGAGCGUUGCAAACUAUAACAGACUCGGUUCAACGUUCUUUGUUUACGCACAUUAUUCCUUAUAAGAAACAAUUUUUCCGUACUCGAAGAAAAUAGACAAGGCAAUUCAUUGAUGCAAGCAUCAAAGACGCCGCCAAGUGCUGUGUCUGAAGUACAUUUAUUGCAAUAUGAGAAAUCACCUAAUCAUUACUUUAUUAGUCUGACUGGCUACAAGUUAUCAACAUUAGCACAUAAAACAAUAUAUGUUAUAAACUGUUUAAAACAUGAAGAAUAAACAUGAUAGAAAAGUUUUACCAUGCAAUACAAAUCCUCUACCUGCAAUGACAUUAACAUUGCGAGUAGGUGGUCCCUUUACAUACAAAAUUAAAGUAAUUAUUUCACUAACUAAGGUCAUCUCCUGUGAAAAGUUCUUAUAUGCAGGAGCGUGUGUAUGAAGUUUCACAGAAAUGCAGUUUGUUGGGAAAUGAGGAAAUGUUGAAAUUAUUUCAAAGUUGUGGUUCACAGAAACCAUUAUUUUUAUUAUCAUGUAAUGUAAUGAGUGUUUUCUAUUUACUGAUGAAGUUUUAUGGACCUUAGUCACCUACAUUAUAGAUUUCAGAAUGCAGAUUAUACACAGCAAUUUACUGUUUCCCUUGACAAAAACAAUCAAAAAUUUUGUCCAAGAAAAGAAUGAUAUAACAUAAAUAAUCUCUAUAUAGCCCCUAUUCACAAAGCAUGAAUCUUUCUUAUCUACUUUUGAAUAUCAUAGAAUUCAUUUUUUUUUCGGACGAACGAUAAACUUGAAGUCCUCGUUGAACUGUAAGGUUACUAGGAGUAUGUCAGUGUCUAGUUCAAAUCUAAUAUUACAAGAAAUUUAGAAAGCAUAAUAACCCACUGCCAAAGUGUAGAAAAUAUUUCAAUGAAAAUGUUUUUUUUUUUUUUUAUUUUUUUUUUUGUCAGGAAUGGACAAAUACAAAAACUAUUAGUAUUAAAUUAAAAACAAAAAAGAAAAAAAAGAAGCAUGUAACAAGAUAUAAUAAAACCAGAGCAACUGACUAGUCAUAUAAGAUCAAUGAACAUAUAAAUUCAACAAGGAAUUCUAUUUUAAAGUCACUGAUGCUUUGAUAAGUUAUGGUCCCAUGGCUUUUGAUAUUUCGAUCUAACCACAUUUAAAGAAGUAUUAACUUGUCACUGACAAAUUCAGCCAAGUGCUCUUUAGCCUAUUGCACACCUUAGUUGACAGUGUAUAUCUGUAAACAAUGAGUAGA
This is a long non-coding RNA of Mercenaria mercenaria, 3611 nucleotides long. RefSeq lists it as uncharacterized. The record is from RefSeq and is a predicted model, not a curated record. Lineage: Eukaryota; Metazoa; Mollusca; Bivalvia; Venerida; Veneridae. The transcript has 3 exons.